This 253-nucleotide ribosomal RNA is filed under the name uncultured bacterium. RNAcentral describes it as "partial 16S ribosomal RNA". It matches the Rfam family "Bacterial small subunit ribosomal RNA", at positions 524 to 776 of the family's 1533-position model. The record is from RNAcentral.
UACGUACGAGGCGAGCGUUAUCCGGAAUUACUGGGCGUAAAGCGCGCGCAGGUGGCGUGCUAAGUCGGACGUGAAAUCUCCCGGCCUAACUGGGAGGGGUCGUUCGAGACUGGCAGGCUUGAGGACAGCAGAGGUGGGUGGAAUUCCUGGUGUAGUGGUGAAAUGCGUAGAGAUCAGGAGGAACACCGGUGGCGAAGGCGGCCCACUGGGCUGUCACUGACGCUGAGGCGCGAAAGCUCGGGGAGCGAACGGG